RNAcentral lists this ribosomal RNA (400 nucleotides) under uncultured bacterium. Its description in RNAcentral is "bacterial SSU rRNA". It matches the Rfam family "Bacterial small subunit ribosomal RNA", at positions 359 to 776 of the family's 1533-position model. The record is from RNAcentral.
GAAUCUUGGACAAUGGGCGCAAGCCUGAUCCAGCCAUGCCGCGUGAGUGAAGAAGGCCUUAGGGUUGUAAAGCUCUUUUGGCGGGGACGAAAAUGACGGUACCCGCAGAAUAAGCCCCGGCUAACUUCGUGCCAGCAGCCGCGGUAAUACGAAGGGGGCUAGCGUUGUUCGGAAUUACUGGGCGUAAAGCGCACGCAGGCGGAUCGAUAAGUCAGGGGUGAAAUCCCGGGGCUCAACCUCGGAAUUGCCUUUGAUACUGUCGAUCUCGAGUCCGGGAGAGGUGAGUGGAAUUCCUAGUGUAGAGGUGAAAUUCGUAGAUAUUAGGAAGAACACCAGUGGCGAAGGCGGCUCACUGGCCCGGUACUGACGCUCAGGUGCGAAAGCGUGAGGAGCAAACAGG